UGGGGAAUUUUGGACAAUGGGCGAAAGCCUGAUCCAGCAAUGCCGCGUGUGUGAAGAAGGCCUUCGGGUUGUAAAGCACUUUUGUCCGGAAAGAAAUCCUCUGGGUUAAUACCUCGGGGGGAUGACGGUACCGGAAGAAUAAGCACCGGCUAACUACGUGCCAGCAGCCGCGGUAAUACGUAGGGUGCAAGCGUUAAUCGGAAUUACUGGGCGUAAAGCGUGCGCAGGCGGUUUUGUAAGACGGAUGUGAAAUCCCCGGGCUUAACCUGGGAACUGCAUUCGUGACUGCAAGGCUAGAGUAUGGCAGAGGGGGGUAGAAUUCCACGUGUAGCAGUGAAAUGCGUAGAGAUGUGGAGGAAUACCGAUGGCGAAGGCAGCCCCCUGGGCCAAUACUGACGCUCAUGCACGAAAGCGUGGGGAGCAAACAGGAUUAGAUACCCUGGUAGUCCACGCCCUAAAACGAUGUCAACUAGUUGUUGGGGAUUCAUUCCUUAGUAACGUAGCUAACGCGUGAAGUUGACCGCCUGGGGAGUACGGUCGCAAGAUUAAAACUUAAAUGAAUUGACGGGGUCAUAGCUGUUUCCU
RNAcentral lists this ribosomal RNA (585 nucleotides) under uncultured bacterium. RNAcentral's name for it is "partial 16S ribosomal RNA". It matches the Rfam family "Bacterial small subunit ribosomal RNA", at positions 355 to 1375 of the family's 1533-position model. The record is from RNAcentral.